UACGAAGGGGGCUAGCGUUGUUCGGAAUUACUGGGCGUAAAGGGUUCGUAGGUGGCUUGCUCAGUCAGACGUGAAAUCCCUCAGCUUAACUGGGGAACUGCGCCUGAUACUGGCGAGCUUGAGUGCAGGAGAGGAACGCGGAAUUCCAGGUGUAGCGGUGAAAUGCGUAGAUAUCAGAAGGAACAUCAGUGGCGAAGGCGGCUUUCUGGACCAAUACUGACGAUCAGGUGCGAAAGCGUGGGGAGCAAACAGG
Molecule: ribosomal RNA, 253 nt
Filed under: uncultured bacterium
Lineage: Bacteria
Description: partial 16S ribosomal RNA
Rfam family: Bacterial small subunit ribosomal RNA
Source: RNAcentral